This 460-nucleotide ribosomal RNA is filed under the name uncultured bacterium. RNAcentral describes it as "partial 16S ribosomal RNA". It matches the Rfam family "Bacterial small subunit ribosomal RNA", at positions 338 to 795 of the family's 1533-position model. The record is from RNAcentral.
CCUACGGGUGGCAGCAGUGAGGAAUAUUGGUCAAUGGACGAGAGUCUGAACCAGCCAAGUCGCGUGAAGGAUGACUGCCCUAUGGGUUGUAAACUUCUUUUAUAUGGGAAUAAAACGUUCCACGUGUGGGAUUUUGUAUGUACCAUAUGAAUAAGGAUCGGCUAACUCCGUCCCAGCAGCCGCGGUAAUACGGAGGAUCCGAGCGUUAUCCGGAUUUAUUGGGUUUAAAGGGAGCGUAGGUGGAUUUUUAAGUCAGUUGUGAAAGUUUGCGGCUCAACCGUAAAAUUGCAGUUGAAACUGGCAGUCUUGAGUACAGUAGAGGUGGGCGGAAUUGGUGGUGUAGCGGUGAAAUGCUUAGAUAUCACGAAGAACUCCGAUUGCGAAGGCAGUUCACUGGACUGCAACUGACACUGAGGCUCGAAAGUGUGGGUAUCAAACAGGAUUAGAUACCCCGGUAGUC